This 496-nucleotide ribosomal RNA is filed under the name uncultured Fodinibius sp. RNAcentral describes it as "bacterial SSU rRNA". It matches the Rfam family "Bacterial small subunit ribosomal RNA", at positions 380 to 876 of the family's 1533-position model. Lineage: Bacteria; Pseudomonadati; Balneolota; Balneolia; Balneolales; Balneolaceae. The record is from RNAcentral.
ACCCUGACGCAGCCACGCCGCGUGCUGGAAGACGGCCCUAUGGGUUGUAAACAGCUUUUGGUCGGGAAGAACCCCGGAGUUUCGACUCCGGCUGACGGUACCGAUUGAAUAAGCACCGGCUAACUCCGUGCCAGCAGCCGCGGUAAUACGGAGGGUGCAAGCGUUGUCCGGAAUUAUUGGGUGUAAAGGGUGUGCAGGCGGAAGUCUAAGUCGGAGGUGAAAUCUUGCCGCUUAACGGUAAAAGGGCCUUCGAAACUGGAUUUCUUGAGUUCGGAAGAGGUUGGUGGAAUUCGUGGUGUAGCGGUGAAAUGCAUAGAUAUCACGAAGAACACCGGUGGCGAAGGCGGCCAACUGGUCCGAUACUGACGCUGAGACACGAAAGCGUGGGGAGCGAACAGGAUUAGAUACCCUGGUAGUCCACGCUGUAAACGAUGCAUGCUAGUUGUUGUCCCCUUGGGGGCAGUGACGCAGUUAACGCAGUAAGCAUGCCACCUGG